RNAcentral lists this long non-coding RNA (1151 nucleotides) under Rhinopithecus bieti (black snub-nosed monkey). Its description in RNAcentral is "lncRNA (ENSRBIG00000045410.1)". The record is from RNAcentral. Lineage: Eukaryota; Metazoa; Chordata; Mammalia; Primates; Cercopithecidae.
AGCCCUUCCCCCCAUGGCCCCGCCCACCACUCUAGCCACGCCCCUUCCGGACCAGGUGCCUCCCGGCUGCUGGCUCUAGCCCUUCCUCGCGUGGCCCCGCCCCGCCCUCGCCCCCUGCCCAGGCCCGGCCCCUGCGGAGACCAGAGACGCGCGGACGCAGGUAAGGCGCGCUGGGGGCCGGGCUGCAGCUUCCCGGUGCGGCCACAGUGGGCAGGUGGGCCUGUGCGCGGCGGCCUCGCUGGCUGAGAAUUGGCGGGGCUGGGGCGUGCCUUGGACUGACCCCCACCGGCCUAAUCAGCGGAGCGGGACCAGGCCCGGAACUGCCCGCCUGGCUCCUUGUGGCCGCUGGGGACCCCCGACCCCAGCCACUUUCCCUUGCCAGCCCUUAGCAAGGCUGCUUCUCCGGUUAUUUUUUUAGGCUCGAGGCGUCUGCCGAACCUCAGCCCAGGAUCUGCCCCUUUGGGAGGUGCGGGCCGCGGCCAGGCUCUGACCUCAACCUGGCACAGAGGCUCCGGCCCUCAGGCAAGAUUCUCCGGGGGAGUGGCUCUUGUGUCUUUAGACCUCUGUGCCGAUGACCUGGGAGGAAGGUCAGCUUUCCCUACUGGAGGGGGCCCAGCAAAGCCUCAGCCCCUAGAAGUGAGGGGCCUGCCACUGCCUGCCCAAGGACCCCACUCCUGGGGGCCAGAUGCUGAGAAGGGACACUGGGGCCCAGCAGACCGGAGAGCUAACCCCAGUCCCACAGCCUGGGUGGGUUGUCAAUUUCUGGCACCCCUGCACCCCUGCACCCCUUCCCCUUAGGUAAAUAGGAGGUCGAAACAGAGGCCAGAGGGUAAAGGAGGUAAUUAGAGUCUGGGCUGGCUCAGGCUGGCCGGGCAGCUGUGCUAGUGCUUGGAGUUCCUACUCAGUCCCUGCGGUCUCCUGGCCUCUGUGGGCACUUGGGCUGCCAGGCACCGAGCUGAGCUGGGCUGUCCUGCAGCCCCCCAGCCCACGACCCUCCUGUCUCUGUAGGGACUCCCUGAGGCCUUGAAUCCACCCCGGCCCUGUGCUCAGUGCAUCGUGCCCCCCAAGCCCCAGCCCUCCCAGAGGUGUGGGUGGGGGAGGGGCUGCAACCCACACAGGCCAAGGACACAGCUGCUGCCACUGCCUGAGAC